This 329-nucleotide ribosomal RNA is filed under the name uncultured Anaerolineaceae bacterium. Its description in RNAcentral is "bacterial SSU rRNA". It matches the Rfam family "Bacterial small subunit ribosomal RNA", at positions 1043 to 1382 of the family's 1533-position model. Lineage: Bacteria; Bacillati; Chloroflexota; Anaerolineae; Anaerolineales; Anaerolineaceae. The record is from RNAcentral.
GCAUGGCUGUCGUCAGCUCGUGUCGUGAGAGUGUUCGGUUAAGUCCGGCUAACGAGCGCAACCCUCCGCUGUAUGUUACAUGUGUCAUACAGGACCGCCGGUAUCAAGCCGGAGGAAGGUGGGGAUGACGUCAAGUCCGCAUGGCCUUUAUGUCCGGGGCUACACACACGCUACAAUGGUCGGUACAAUGGGUUGCUAAGCCGCGAGGUGGAGCCAAUCCCCCAAAGCCGGCCUCAGUUCAGAUUGCAGGCUGCAACUCGCCUGCAUGAAGCUGGAGUUGCUAGUAAACGCGCGUCAGCUAUAGUGCGUUGAAUACGUUCUCGGGCCUU